UUUUGGUGGAUUUGCGAGAGAGUUUCGCCGGUGGUAGCGUUUUGUGAGUUGGUGAAGAUGACGAGGAGGGUUUUGAUUUGUGAGCGGCUGAGAGGGUUAUCGGAGACGGAGUAGGGUGAACGGCGGAGGGUGGUGGGCGAUUUGUGAGUGAUGGGUUGUUUUUUCUGAGAGAGGGAGAGUGAAUGAGCUGGCGUGAGGGAGUUGUUUGCUGAGAGGAGUAUUUGAGUAGAGGGAAAUGUGAGUGAGGUAGUUCUUUUUUGUUUUUU
RNAcentral lists this long non-coding RNA (266 nucleotides) under Lathyrus oleraceus (garden pea). RNAcentral describes it as "Pisum sativum (pea) long non-coding RNA (PSAT_LNC018980)". The record is from RNAcentral. Lineage: Eukaryota; Viridiplantae; Streptophyta; Magnoliopsida; Fabales; Fabaceae.